AGUGAACGCUGGCGGUAGGCCUAACACAUGCAAGUCGAACGGCAGCACAGUAAGAGCUUGCUCUUACGGGUGGCGAGUGGCGGACGGGUGGGGAAUACAUCGGAAUCUACUUUUUCGUGGGGGAUAACGUAGGGAAACUUACGCUAAUACCGCAUACUACCUACGGGCGAAAGCAGGGGAUCUUCGGACCUUGCGCGAUUGAAUGAGCCGAUGUCGGAUUAGCUAGUUGGCGGGGUAAAGGCCCACCAAGGCGACGGUCCGUAGCUGGGCUGGGAGGAUGAUCAGCCACACUGGAACUGAGACACGGUCCAGACUCCUACGGGAGGCAGCAGUGGGGAAUAUUGGACAAAGGGCGCAAGCCUGCUCCAGCCAUACCGCGUGGGUGAAGAAGGCCUUCGGGUUGUAAAGCCCUUUUGUUGGGAAAGAAAAGCAGCAGGUUAAUACCCCGCUGUUCUGACGGUACCCAAAGAAUAAGCACCGGCUAACUUCGUG
RNAcentral lists this ribosomal RNA (492 nucleotides) under uncultured bacterium. RNAcentral's name for it is "partial 16S ribosomal RNA". It matches the Rfam family "Bacterial small subunit ribosomal RNA", at positions 29 to 507 of the family's 1533-position model. The record is from RNAcentral.